CAUGCUUCGAAAUGAGCAUGAAGCAUGGCAACUAUUUGAAAAUCUUAAUGAAAACUCCCUCCACCAUGCUUCAUGUUCUCGUCAAGCACCCCCGAGUUCUCAAAGAAAAGGGACCAUUUGUGAAAUAAGUCAUUCUAUGGACCUGUCUAGCAAGGUAGAUGCAUUGUCCCAUAAGAUUGACCAACUGAUGAUAGGUGGGCAUUAUAUGAACUCUUCCCAAGCACAAGUGUGUACUAUUUGUUCUAGCCCAUC
Molecule: long non-coding RNA, 252 nt
Filed under: Phoenix dactylifera (date palm)
Lineage: Eukaryota; Viridiplantae; Streptophyta; Magnoliopsida; Arecales; Arecaceae
Description: long non-coding RNA (PDAC_LNC022665)
Source: RNAcentral